RNAcentral lists this ribosomal RNA (506 nucleotides) under uncultured bacterium. Its description in RNAcentral is "partial 16S ribosomal RNA". It matches the Rfam family "Bacterial small subunit ribosomal RNA", at positions 29 to 523 of the family's 1533-position model. The record is from RNAcentral.
AGUGAACGCUGGCGGUAGGCCUAACACAUGCAAGUCGAACGGCAGCACAGGAGAGCUUGCUCUCUGGGUGGCGAGUGGCGGACGGGUGAGGAAUACAUCGGAAUCUACUCUGUCGUGGGGGAGAACGUAGGGAAACUUACGCUAAUACCGCAUACGACCUACGGGUGAAAGCAGGGGACCUUCGGGCCUUGCGCGAUUGAAUGAGCCGAUGUCGGAUUAGCUAGUUGGCGGGGUAAAGGCCCACCAAGGCGACGAUCCGUAGCUGGUCUGAGAGGAUGAUCAGCCACACUGGAACUGAGACACGGUCCAGACUCCUACGGGAGGCAGCAGUGGGGAAUAUUGGACAAUGGGCGCAAGCCUGAUCCAGCCAUACCGCGUGGGUGAAGAAGGCCUUCGGGUUGUAAAGCCCUUUUGUUGGGAGAGAAAUCCAGCUGGCUAAUACCCGGUUGGGAUGACGGUACCCAAAGAAUAAGCACCGGCUAACUUCGUGCCAGCAGCCGCCGUAA